Molecule: ribosomal RNA, 248 nt
Filed under: uncultured Actinomycetales bacterium
Lineage: Bacteria; Bacillati; Actinomycetota; Actinomycetes; Actinomycetales
Description: partial 16S ribosomal RNA
Rfam family: Bacterial small subunit ribosomal RNA
Source: RNAcentral
CUGGGGUACUCGAAUGGCGAACGGGUGAGUAACACGUGGGUGAUCUGCCCUGCACUUCGGGAUAAGCCUGGGAAACUGGGUCUAAUACCGGAUAGGAGCCAUUUUUAGUGUGAUGGUUGGAAAGUUUUUCGGUGUAGGAUGAGCUCGCGGCCUAUCAGCUUGUUGGUGGGGUAAUGGCCUACCGAGGCGGCGACGGGUAGCCGGCCUGAGAGGGUGGACGGCCACAUUGGGACUGAGAUACGGCCCAG